CAGUCCCGAAACCUCGCGUGAAAUUCGCUUCCUGUCUCCUCGGAGUUUGGGAUUGUCUGUGUACAGCUCUCGUCCAAGUCGUCAGAACCCCUCUAGCAGGAGCAGCGUCUCUGCUGACUGAAUGCUCCUUUGAGGAUGGCUCGGUCAAAGUCAGAACUGCAUGACGACCGUAGUAUAGCCCGUCGCAGUGGAGAGCGGAACCGCCGCGGGCGCACGCGCAGUCAGAACUUAUGGCGCCUCCUGGGCGGGGCCUAUAUAAACCCCUCCUCUCCCUUGCCUCAAAGCUGGAUUUCCUCCUGCUCCUCCUCAUCCUAGGAUCUUGGAUUGCGGUUUUCUGGUAGCUGUUUGGGGGCCGGCAGGGGCGGGGCCUCCGGGGAUGCUUUGCUUCCUGCCCCAAGUCCAAAGUGCCACGGUGGCGUUGGUGGAGGUCUCCAGACUGAACAGUUUUGGCCCAGACAUGCUCGAAUUUGCAACCUGUAAUCCGGACCCCAGAGACACCCUACGGGGAGUCACCCGCCUGCCUCGCUGCGGCCGCUAGUCAGUUCCGACCUCUAAUCACCAGGCUCCUCUGCCGGUUCAAGCACCUGCCCUAUAGUGGGAGGGAGGUAGCCAGAUGUGGAUAGCAGCUGGAAACGGUUAUGUCUAGUCUGCGCCCCAGUGCCGGGAGGAAGCUGGCCCUGAGCCUGCCCUCCAGAAAUGUCCAUACUGUUGAAGUAAAUUUUACAUCGAG
Molecule: long non-coding RNA, 730 nt
Filed under: Rattus norvegicus (Norway rat)
Lineage: Eukaryota; Metazoa; Chordata; Mammalia; Rodentia; Muridae
Description: long non-coding RNA NONRATT001771
Source: RNAcentral